RNAcentral lists this ribosomal RNA (422 nucleotides) under uncultured bacterium. Its description in RNAcentral is "bacterial SSU rRNA". It matches the Rfam family "Bacterial small subunit ribosomal RNA", at positions 355 to 775 of the family's 1533-position model. The record is from RNAcentral.
UGGGGAAUAUUGGACAAUGGGCGGAAGCCUGAUCCAGCAACGCCGCGUGAGGGAUGACGGCCUUCGGGUUGUAAACCUCUUUCAGUACCGACGAAGCUUCAUUCUUUUGGGUGGGGUGACGGUAGGUACAGAAGAAGCACCGGCCAACUACGUGCCAGCAGCCGCGGUAAUACGUAGGGUGCGAGCGUUGUCCGGAAUUAUUGGGCGUAAAGGGCUCGUAGGCGGUUUGUUGCGUCGGGAGUGAAAACAUCCAGCUUAACUGGGUGCUUGCUUUCGAUACGGGCAGACUUGAGGUAUGCAGGGGAGAAUGGAAUUCCUGGUGUAGCGGUGAAAUGCGCAGAUAUCAGGAGGAACACCGGUGGCGAAGGCGGUUCUCUGGGCAUUACCUGACGCUGAGGAGCGAAAGUGUGGGGAGCGAACAG